Molecule: long non-coding RNA, 5355 nt
Filed under: Arachis ipaensis
Lineage: Eukaryota; Viridiplantae; Streptophyta; Magnoliopsida; Fabales; Fabaceae
Description: long non-coding RNA (AIPA_LNC000396)
Source: RNAcentral
UUAUUAUUAGAGAACUCUCGACACUGGACCUAAAUACCUUGUUAUACAUUAACCCUAAACUAAUCACUACCAAGUACUAAUAAAUUAAGCACACAUACAUUAGCAGCUAGCAUACAUGAUUAGGAUUAUAAUGGUACUACUUGUUUUGGUUCUUGGUGGCAAACUUGGACUCAUCAAUCUCAACACCUUCCUCUUCAGCACGCUCUUCUCCAGAUUUCUCCAUGGUGCUGAAUCCACCCUUGCGACCCAUCUCUUGGUACCCUUCUGUUCCCAACUGCUCCCUCCUUGUUUGCCCUCCCUUACUCCUUCCUGAUAAUGAAACAACAUUUUUAUAUCAUAUAGUUGCAUAUUCAUUUAUAUACAUAAGUAAUAUUAUUACUGACAUAAUAAUAAUAAUAAUAAUUAAUAACCUUCAGCAAGAUGCUCCUGAGCCUCAAGGGACUUGCCACCAGUUCCACCAGGAACCACAGUCUCUCCCUGUUUUGCCCUUUCAUCAAGCUCUUGUCGGUUUUGUUGCUUAGAUGCCAUGCUUAUAACUUAUAUCUAUGCAAUAAUUUAGUUGACUAUACUUGACUCUUAGCUCAAUAUGCUAACAUAGUCCUUAAUCAGGCUUUAUAUAGGCAACAAAUUUGUGUUGCAUAAUUAAUGCUAAAAUUAUUCGAUAGUAAGGAAGAAAAAUCAAGAACGUGACAGCUACUUAGAAAAGAACAGUGAGCGUGGUCAUACAUGGACACGUGCGGUGCAUGCGUGGCAAAACAUAAGACACGCAACGCAACUCUGAAAAUGACACGACGUCCUUGGGAAUAGGGCAGCUAACUUUUAAUAUGAGCAUGUACUCUUUGUUCGGUUGGCAGGUUUGUAUUAUACAGUGUUUCUGAUAAGUUUCUAUAGUUUUUAUUAACUUUUAACUAAUUUCUCUUUAGCAUUGUAUUGUUUAUUCUUUCAAGUAGGAUUGUCAGGUGCUACAAUUAAUCUCUGAUAAAAGUGCCUUCAACCUUGGUCUUCGUAACAAUUGCAAAUUCGCUUCCUUAACAUAUGAACUAUAUGUAUUCAAUCCAUACUCUAAAUUUUUCAAUUCCAUCUUACUUGACACAACUCUGUAACAAAUAAAUUUACGAGUAAAGUGAUAAACAAAGGGCUUGUUUUGGUGAGCUUUUAAGAAAAGAUCUUUUUUCGAAUUAUUUUUUUUAAAAGAUCUUAUAGAUAAGUAAAAGUAAUUUUAUGUUUGGAUAUCUCAUAUAAAAAAGAUUUUUUUAUCUAUCAAUUAUAUUUGGAUAUAACAAUAUAAAUUUUUUUUUAUUUAUUUAUUACAUGAAAAACAUCUUUUUUUUAAAAAUUUUUUUUUUAAAAAAAAUGUAAAUUACAGCUUCUCAAAAAAAUCUUUUUUUUUUUUAUUUUACUAAUACUUUUACUUUUAUUACUAAAAAUUUACCAAACAUUGUUAAAAAAUUUAAAAAGAUCUUUUUCAUUGAAAAAAAUCUUUUUUUAAUAAAAUAAUAGCGCCCAAAUAUACACAAAUUUCAUCCAAUAUUUACCUUUCGAAUAAAUUAAAUUUUAAACAAAAUAAUUAACCUAUUAAUUUUCAGUUUUCUCUUCCACCCAAACUGAUUGUAAUAGGAUGUUUGAAUUAAACGGAAUANNNNNNNNNNNNNNNNNNNNNNNNNNNNNNNNNNNNNNNNNNNNNNNNNNNNNNNNNNNNNNNNNNNNNNNNNNNNNNNNNNNNNNNNNNNNNNNNNNNNNNNNNNNNNNNNNNNNNNNNNNNNNNNNNNNNNNNNNNNNNNNNNNNNNNNNNNNNNNNNNNNNNNNNNNNNNNNNNNNNNCAUAUUAUUUUACAAAUUAUUUUACAUGUUAUUUUAGAAAAGAUGAGAUAAUGAUACUUGCAAAUUUUUUCCAAAAUUAAGCCCAAACAUUCUUUCCAAAAAUUUAGUUCUAGAAAAAGUUUGAUAAUUUGAUUUUAAUUUAAAAAUUAGAACUAAAAUCGUAUCUAAAAAUAUCCGAAGAGUACCCAAAACAAUUAUAUUCUUCGAAUACAAGAACUCAAAAUAAUGAGUUAGAUUGAGUUUACACUAUUUGAACUAAGAAGGGACAACAUGUUGUACUUUAAUUCCAUUGCUUCAUGGAUAUGCUGAUAUUUAGGACAUGAAAGCAAGAUAUGAAAUGAGAAAUGCAAGCAGCACUGUUUAUAUAACGCAAAGCAAAGUGUGUCAAUGACGGACUCUUUUGUCUCAUCACUUUUCAGUCAAUUAAAGUUAAGAUCUUCUUACUCUCCUCCUCCUCCUCCCUCUUCUCGUCAAUUUUCAACACAACUGGGCAAAUAUACUAGGAAUUAGAAAUAUUACGACAAAGAUUAAUAAUUUUAUUUUGCCAAAUACAUGACUGUUUAGGUUGCAAUACUUUGUUAGUCUAGCAAAGAUGAAAUGAUAUUUGCACCCAUCAUAAGUAAUGACAUUAUUAUGCUACAACAUAAACCACGAUUCAACUCUCUAAAGGAAAAUAUUAGAUUUGUCAUUACAUCAUUAAACACAUCAUUACAGACAAACCAUAUACUCCUACUAUCAAAGGCUAACAACUGAAGCACUAGUAAUAAUAAGCAUAACCUGUCAAUAUAUGCUAGCUAGCAGUUAUUAUUAGAGAACUCUAGACACUGGACCUAAAUACCUUGUUAUAUAUUAACCCUAAGCUUCACUACCUAGUACUAAUAAAUUAAGCACACAUACAUUAGAAGCUAGCAUACAUGAUUAGGAUUAUAAUAAGAUGAUGAUACUACUUGUUUUGGUUCUUGGUGGUAAACUUGGACUCGUCAAUCUCAACGCCUUCCUCUUCAGCACGCUCUCCUCCAGAUUUCUCCAUGGUGCUGAAUCCACCCUUACGACCCAUCUCUUGGUACCCUUCUGUUCCCAACUGCUCCCUCCUUGUUUGCCCUCCCUUGCUCCUUCCUGAUAAUCAAACAACAUUUUUAUAUCAUAUAGCUGCAUAUUCAUUUAUAUACAUACGUAACAUUAUUACUGAGAUAAUAAUAAUAAUAAUAAUAAUAAUAAUUAAUAACCUUCAGCAAGAUGCUCCUGAGCCUCAAGGGACUUGCCACCAGUUCCACCAGGGACCACAGUCUCUCCCUGUUUUGCCCUUUCAUCAAGCUCUUGUCGGUUUUGUUGUUUAGAUGCCAUGCUUAUAACUUGUAUCUAUGCAAUAAUUUAGUUGACUAUACUUGACUCUUAGCUCAAUAUGCUAACAUAGUCCUUGAUGAGGCUUUAUAUAGGCAACAAAUUUGUGUUGCAUAAUUAAUGCUAAAAUUAUUCGAUAGUAAGGAAGAAAAAUCAAGAACGUGACAACUACUUAGAAAGGAACAGUGAGCGUGUCCAUGCAUGGACACGUGGUGCAUGCCUGGCAAAACAUGAGUAAGACACGCAACGCAACUCCCAAAAUGACACGACGUCCAGUUAUUUAUUUGGGAAUAGGGCAGCAAACUUUUAAUAUGAGCAUGUACUCUUUGUUCGGUUGGCAAAUUUGUAUUCUACAGUGUUUCUGAUAAGUUUCUUUAGUUUUUAUUAGCUUUUAACUAAUUUCUUUUUAGCAUUGUAUUGUUUAUUCAUUCAAGUAGGAUUGUCAUGUGCUACAAUUAAGCUGUGUGAUAAAAGUGCCUUCAACCUUGGUCUUCAUAACACUUGCAAAUUCGCUUCCUUAACAUAUGAACUAUAUGUAUUCAAUCCGUACUCUAAAUUUUUCAAUUCCAAUAUUUAUCAGUAAAAUGAUAAACAAAUUUCAUCCAAUAUUUAUCUUUCGAAUAAAUUAAUUUUUAAACAAAAUAAUUAACCUAUUAAUUUUCAGUUUUCUUUCCCACCCAAACUGAUUGUAAUAGGACGUCUGAAUUAAACGGAAUCAAAAUGAAGGUAUAUAGUAGUGUAUACUCCACAGCCUUGUUUUAUAAAAAUUUUAUGGUAAAUUUUACUAUAUUUUUUUUAAAACAAUAUAUAAUUUAUUUUGUAUGAUGUGUCACUUUUUAAUUGGUUAUUAGGUUAAUCUUGAUUAGACUAUUUUAUAAUUAAAUUAGUUUUUAAAAUGGAUAAUUAUUCAAUUUUUUCAAAAAUCUUAAAUUUAUAAAAAUCUAAUCUAAAAUUAGUGUCUCUCUGCAUGGCCAAUAUCCAUAAAUGGCUUUAGAUUAAAAACUGAAGUAAACCAAAUACAAAUAGGCACCAUUUUGACACUUUCGCAAUUCGUCGGUUCUUAAAAAAAUUUUCCCCGCUGAAUUCCUCUCAAAUUUCUUUGUAUUGAUUAUGAAACAUCAUAACUGUUGUAGAAGAUGAUACUUGCAAAUUUUGUCCAAAAUUAAGCCCAAACAUUCUUUCCAAAAAUUUAGUUCUAGAAGAAGUUUGUUAAUUUGAUUUUAAUUUAAAAAUUAGAACUAAAAUCGUAUCUAAAAGUAUCCGAAGAGUACUCAAAGUAACUAGUUAGAUUGAGUUCACACUGUUUGAACUAAGAAGGGACAACAUGUUGUACUUUGAUUCGAUAUGCUGAUAUUCAGGACUUGAAAAUAUGAAAUGAGAAAUGCAAGCAGCACAGUUUAUAUAACGCAAAGUGUGCCAAUGACAGACUCUUUUGUCUCGUCACUUUUCAGUCAACUAAAGUUAAAUUCUUCUUACCACCUCUCUGUUCUCGUCAAUUUUCAACGCACAACUGGGCAAAUCUACUAGGAAUUAGAAAUAUUACGGCAAAGAUUAAUAAUUUUAUUUUGGCAAAUACAUGACUAAACAUUACAAAAUUAAUGUUUAGGUUGCAAUACUUUGUUACUUUAGCAAAGAUGAAAUGAUAUUUGCACCCAUCAUAAGUAAUGGCAUUAUUAUGCUACAACAUAAACCACUGUUCAACUCUCCAAAGGAAAAUAUUAGAUUUCUCAUUACAUCAUUAAACACAUCAUGCAGACAAACCGUACAUAUUAACAACUGAAGCAUAAAACAACUGAAGCACUAGUAAUAAUGAGCAUAACCUCUCAAUAUAUGCUAGCUAGUUAUUAUUAGAGAACUCUAGACACUGGACCUAAAUACUUUGUUAUAUAUUAACCCUAAACAUCACUACCUAGUACUAAUAAACUAAGCACACAUACAUUAGAAGCUAGCAUACAUGAUUAGGAUUAUAAUAAGAUUAUGGUACUACUUGUUUAGGUUCUUGGUGACAAACUUGGACUCAUCAAUCUCAACGCCUUCCUCUUCAGCACGCUCUCCUCCAGAUUUUUCCAUGGUGCUAAAUCCACCCUUGCGACCCAUCUCUUGGUAUCCUUCUGUUCCUAACUGCUCCCUCCUUGUUUGCCCUCCCUUGCUCCUUCCUGAUAGUGAAACAACAUUUUUAUGCCAUAUAGUUGCA